GAAACAGCUGUAAUGAUGAACAUGUUGGAUUUGGUUUAUUUAAGACACAAACAAAUAUUUAAAAAACAACAAUUCUGGGCAUCUUUCAAUCCCGUCAUGACAACAGGUUCUGUAUCACUAAGUGUUGUGCUGGAUUGUGGUCAGUCCAUCCUGAAAACUAAGAGAGACACACACACACUUUUGAGCAGAGAGUUGUUUGGAGAGAUUUCUACACCCUGAAUUGGAAAACUUCCACAUUCGAAGGCCCCUUCUCACUACUAAGCCUACCAUACUAAACCUGUGAAGAUCUAACCCUGAAAAAUGUCACUGUGGCCCAGCCCCCACACUGCAGAUGCCUCUGGAGCAUCAGUCACACCGACAGCACCUGAACUUGAGGCAGGUGAAGUUCUGUCAAGUGGGACUUGCAGUUACUCCAUCCUGGAGUUCAUUGGUGAAGGCUGCUUUGGCAAAGUGGCCCAAUGCCAAAGGCUCCAUGCAAACGAGGCAGUCGCUAUAAAGAUCCUCAAAGACACUGAAUAUAUCCAGGACACAGAGAAUGAGGUGUCCAUGUUAGAACACAUCCAUGUUCUCAAUCCAGACCACACUAACGUGGUAAAGUUCUUUGAGUGUUUUUAUUACAUGGGACAGACGUGUCUGACAUUUGAGAUGCUAGAUCGUAGUCUCUAUGAUCUGCUCUUAGAACAAAACUGGAAUCCUCUUACUGUCAAAGAGGUGCGACCAAUAGCACAGC
Larimichthys crocea (large yellow croaker) is the source of this 730-nucleotide long non-coding RNA. RefSeq lists it as uncharacterized. The transcript is spliced from 3 exons. NCBI's taxonomy places the organism in Eukaryota, Metazoa, Chordata, Actinopteri, Sciaenidae. The record is from RefSeq and is a predicted model, not a curated record.